This is a long non-coding RNA of Struthio camelus australis, 1720 nucleotides long. The record is from Ensembl. NCBI's taxonomy places the organism in Eukaryota, Metazoa, Chordata, Aves, Struthioniformes, Struthionidae.
CAGAAAGUCCUGGCACUGGCUUAGGAGGCUUCAUCGUCUCAGACCUUCCUCUGGGCUUUUGGUCAAAAAAAGAGGAGAAUCCAGCUGUAAAAUACCACUAGUGCUAGCAAGAAAGGGAUGGAAAAGGGUUGUCCUAAAAGGAUGUUCCCCAAUCUCAGACAUCUUUGUGACAGUAUCACGAUUCUCACUGCCACGGAAAACAAAGUGCAUCUCUCUCAUAGUCCUCCCAUGAGAACAACAGAUCUAUGCUGAUAUCCUCCAAAGACAUGCAAGCUGUCCUCCAGGCAUCUAUAUGGAGAUUCUCACAAAGCAAGGCAGGAGAACAACUGAGACCAUCCUAUCAAUGCUUCUAGGGGCUUGAUCCCGAUCCCUGGCUCUGGUCUGGUCAUUAAGUGUGAAAAGUCAGCCACAGUGCUCUACUUCAGUUUAACAAUUGUGCCUGAUUGAAAAUAGUAAAAAGGAACAGUGCAGGGGAGAGAGAGCAAGCAUGUGCAUGCCAUUGCCAUAUCCAUUUACUCUCUGACUCUUCAAACACCCUAAGAAAGAUGAAUACUGACAGUGAGACAGAAACCUGCGAGCAGUGUGGAGAAAAGAAAUGCGGUGACCUCAUUUUUCAUAAGCUCUAUUGCUAUGACCUCUACAUCCCAUCUGCGCCUGCACCACGGAACAAGGAGCAAAUAGAUGUUGACAGAUUUAUUAAUGAGAAUAUUGUGGAAGUCCUGGAGAAUGAUGAUUACUGCUGUUACCAUGGUUGCAGGAAUUUCAUUGGCGGAGAGAUCAUCAUGCAGGCCAUGCAGAAACCCAUGAAAAUUAUCCCUGUUACACUUAUACCAGUGUACAAAGACCAAUAUUUCCUAAGCCUUUUAGAUAUGCUUAUAACUGCAGAUAAGCUGAGGAGAAUAGUGUUACUUUUGUUUGAUUCUACUUAUAUUAGACCCAAUCUAUUGCAAUGUUGCUUUUCAGUAGAAGUAAAUGACCCACAACUUUUGCGCAAAAUAAGGAAAACCAUAGACCGUCAUAGAAGAUUGAUUCCAUUGAGCAGAAGGCAACAGGUAGUAUUGAAGGAAAUGGACCCAGGUAAGAUCAUAGGUCUUGUCAUGUUUAACCGUUGGAUUCAUUUAAUUUAAAGUUUACUUUGCGAUGGAGAGGAAAGGGAGGGUGACAACUUGGAAAGAGGUAGUUUCAAGGUACUGGAUGUUAGAGUUUGCCCAGCAACACUAGCACAAUUUUUGCCAGAUUUCCUCCAUCAAUCAAGACUUCCUCUAUCAGUUUAUCUAGGGCACAAGCUGGGUCAGUGGUUUGUUAUAUAGACAUCAGACUGAUCUAUGACAGCUCACUUCAGGGAGGAUUUUAAACGAUCCCCUUACUUUAAAGUGCCUAAGGCUAUGUCUACCUAUACAAACCCCAUGAUGAGUCAGACGUGCCUAAUUUGGGUACAGUUCUAGGCUCAUAAAUGGUUUCUAAGGCAGACGUAUCUCAUGCUGCACCAGCUAGAAACACAGGCAGAACAAAGACACUCUGUCUGCACUUCAUGAGGUAAUAUAUCCUCAGAGUCUUACCAACACAGUCCUGUGAUUGAUAGUUUUUUUAAACUUUUCUGUCUGUGCAAUCUAGAUCUUUGGUCUCAGAGGGAGAGAGAAAAAUAUAUUCUGCUGAAAUGUAAAAGCCCUCUAAUGCCUCCUGAAAUAAAUUCAUUAGUUGACCUAAAAAUACCUUGCCU